Molecule: long non-coding RNA, 429 nt
Organism: Papaver somniferum (opium poppy)
Lineage: Eukaryota; Viridiplantae; Streptophyta; Magnoliopsida; Ranunculales; Papaveraceae
Exons: 3
Source: RefSeq, a predicted model, not a curated record
AAGAAAAAACCAUAUGUGAAUCUCUGGUAGCAUCAGAGGGCGUUGAUUUGAAAUUUGAGGAGGCUCUUCUGUCAUCCCUUCUUGGAUAAGAUUGUGUCGCAGUUCUUGUAUUACAUGUUAUUGGGUGAUUUACAUUAUACAUUCUGUUUGAGCAAGAACAAGCGCUGGUAUUCAGUAGCAACUCCAUGAAUACACGAUUGGUUGUUAUCGAAGUACUCAAGUCUGAGGGUUAUGGAUCCAUGCACCUAUUUCUCCAACCAGAGAGUGCAUAAAGCCAAGCGACAUCCUAGCGGCAGAGUUUUGAGAAGCUCAGUGUUAGUGCGCACAUGCAAUGGAAAUGCAGUUCUCCUUCCUAAACAUCGUUCGAGCCUCGAGGCAUCCCUUCCUACUCUUUUAGGAGAAACCCGCUUUCAUACUGAUUGUGUUCAC